RNAcentral lists this ribosomal RNA (510 nucleotides) under uncultured microorganism. RNAcentral's name for it is "bacterial SSU rRNA". It matches the Rfam family "Bacterial small subunit ribosomal RNA", at positions 9 to 509 of the family's 1533-position model. The record is from RNAcentral.
GAGUUUGAUCAUGGCUCAGGAUGAACGCUAGCUACAGGCCUAACACAUGCAAGUCGAGGGGCAGCAUGAACUUAGCUUGCUAAGUUUGAUGGCGACCGGCGCACGGGUGAGUAACACGUAUCCAACCUGCCGAUGACUCGGGGAUAGCCUUUCGAAAGAAAGAUUAAUACCCGAUGGCAUAGUUCUUCCGCAUGGUAGGACUAUUAAAGAAUUUCGGUCAUCGAUGGGGAUGCGUUCCAUUAGCUUGUUGGCGGGGUAACGGCCCACCAAGGCAUCGAUGGAUAGGGGUUCUGAGAGGAAGGUCCCCCACAUUGGAACUGAGACACGGUCCAAACUCCUACGGGAGGCAGCAGUGAGGAAUAUUGGUCAAUGGGCGCUAGCCUGAACCAGCCAAGUAGCGUGAAGGAUGACUGCCCUAUGGGUUGUAAACUUCUUUUAUAUGGGAAUAAAGUGCAGUAUGUAUACUGCUUUGCAUGUACCUUAUGAAUAAGGAUCGGCUAACUCCGUGCC